This 406-nucleotide ribosomal RNA is filed under the name uncultured bacterium. RNAcentral's name for it is "partial 16S ribosomal RNA". It matches the Rfam family "Bacterial small subunit ribosomal RNA", at positions 30 to 526 of the family's 1533-position model. The record is from RNAcentral.
AUUGAACGCUGGCGGCAGGCCUAACACAUGCAAGUCGAACGAGCGGCGGACGGGUGAGUAAUGUCUGGGAAACUGCCUGAUCGAGGGGGCUAACUACUGGAAACGGUGGCUAAUACCGCAUACCAUCGGAUGUACCCAGAUGGGAUUAGCUAGUAGGUGGGGGAAUGGCUCACCUAGGCGACGCUCCCUCGCUGGUCUGAGAGGAUGACCAGCCACACUGGAACGGAGACACGGUCCAGACGCCGACGGGAGGCAGAAGUGGGGAAUAUUGCACAAUGGGCGCAAGCCUGAUGCAGCAAUGCCGCGUGUGUGAAGAAGGCCUUAGGGUUGUAAAGCACUUUCAGUGGGGAGGCGUUACUCGCAGAAGAAGCAACGGCUAACUCCGUGCCAGCAGCCGCGGUAAUUC